CCUUGACGGUAUCUCCUUAGCAAGCACCGGCUAACUCCGUGCCAGCAGCCGCGGUAAUACGGAGGGUGCAAACGUUGCUCGGAAUCAUUGGGCGUAAAGCGCACGUAGGCGGCGAAGCAAGUUGGGUGUGAAAGCCCUGGGCUCAACCCAGGAAGUGCAUUCAAAACUGCUUCGCUUGAAUCUCGGAGGGGGUCAGAGAAUUCCCGGUGUAGAGGUGAAAUUCGUAGAUAUCGGGAGGAAUACCAGUGGCGAAGGCGCUGACCUGGACGAAGAUUGACGCUGAGGUGCGAAAGCGCGGGGAGCAAACAGGAUUAGAUACCCUGGUAGUCCGCGCUGUAAACGAUGAGUGCUAGACGGUGGAGGUAUUGACCCCUUCGCUGCCGAAGCUAACGCGUUAAGCACUCCGCCUGGGGAGUACGGUCGCAAGACUAAAAACUCAAAAGGAAUUGACGGGGU
RNAcentral lists this ribosomal RNA (456 nucleotides) under uncultured bacterium. RNAcentral describes it as "bacterial SSU rRNA". It matches the Rfam family "Bacterial small subunit ribosomal RNA", at positions 467 to 919 of the family's 1533-position model. The record is from RNAcentral.